UACGAGGGGGGCUAGCGUUGUUCGGAAUUACUGGGCGUAAAGCGCACGUAGGCGGAUAUUUAAGUCAGGGGUGAAAUCCCGGGGCUCAACCCCGGAACGGCCUUUGAUACUGGAUGUCUUGAGUCCGGAAGAGGUGAGUGGAAUUGCGAGUGUAGAGGUGAAAUUCGUAGAUAUUCGCAGGAACACCAGUGGCGAAGGCGGCUCACUGGUCCGGAACUGACGCUGAGGUGCGAAAGCGUGGGGAGCAAACAGG
RNAcentral lists this ribosomal RNA (253 nucleotides) under uncultured bacterium. RNAcentral's name for it is "partial 16S ribosomal RNA". It matches the Rfam family "Bacterial small subunit ribosomal RNA", at positions 524 to 776 of the family's 1533-position model. The record is from RNAcentral.